RNAcentral lists this ribosomal RNA (497 nucleotides) under uncultured bacterium. Its description in RNAcentral is "partial 16S ribosomal RNA". It matches the Rfam family "Bacterial small subunit ribosomal RNA", at positions 28 to 507 of the family's 1533-position model. The record is from RNAcentral.
GAUGAACGCUGGCGGCGUGCCUAAUACAUGCAAGUCGAGCGAACAGACGAUGAGCUUUCUCCUCUCACGUUAGCGGCGGACGGGUGAGUCACACGUGGAUAACCUACCUAUAAGACUGAGAUCACUUCGGGAAACCGUAGCUAUUACCGGAUCAUAUAUUUAACCGCAUGGGUCAAAAGAGAAAGACGGUUUUGCUGUCACUUAUAGAUCGAUCCGCGCAUCAUUAGCUAGUUGGUAAGGUAACGGCUUACCAAGGCAACGAUGCGUAGACGACCUGAGAGGGUGGUCGGCCAGACUGGAUCGGAGACACGGUCCAGACGCCUACGCGAGGCAGACGUCUGGAAUAGUCCGCAAUGGGCGAAAGCCUGACGUAGCAACACGGCGGGAGUAAUGAAGGUCUUCGGAUCGUAACGCUCUUCUAUUUGGGAAGACCAUAUGUGCAAGUAGCUGUGCACGUCGUGACGGUAGUUAAACAGAAAGCAACGGCUAACUACGUG